Molecule: ribosomal RNA, 253 nt
Filed under: uncultured bacterium
Lineage: Bacteria
Description: partial 16S ribosomal RNA
Rfam family: Bacterial small subunit ribosomal RNA
Source: RNAcentral
UACGGGGGGAGCAAGCGUUGUUCGGAUUUACUGGGCGUAAAGGGCGCGUAGGCGGUGCUCUAAGUCGGAUGUGAAAACUCUGGGCUCAACCCAGAGCCUGCAUCCGAAACUGGAGUGCUAGAGUUCUGGAGGGGGUAGCGGAAUUCCUGGUGUAGCGGUGAAAUGCGUAGAUAUCAGGAGGAACACCGGUGGCGAAGGCGGCUACCUGGACAGAAACUGACGCUGAGGCGCGAAAGCUAGGGGAGCAAACAGG